GUGUGUGUGUGUGUGAUGUGGUGUGUGCGCGCCUGCACAUUUUUCUGGGUGUCCGCGCUUCCCAGAGUGAAAUUGCUCGGGCUGGUGCGUCUGGGCGUGAGGGUGCCUGCCUGCCUGCCAGUGCAGGCUGCCGGAGGAAGAAAGGGCUGCUAAGGAGAGAUGCUGCACCCUGCACCGCGCUGGGCUCUGAGGAUUCAGGGCGCGAAGAGCUAAGUCCACCCCGAAUGCAGAGCUGCUGGGGAUCCAGGCGUCCCCACCCACUGGACUCUUCUCCGCGGACAUCCCUCCUUCCGGUAAUCCCUGGGGUCUUUCCCCAAGGCCACAUUUCCGAGCCCCCUGUUUUCCAGCGGGCGUUGGGUGCUCAUUCACCACGGACUGCGGAGAGGAGGGAGGUGUGGCGGGGCAGAGACAGACGAGGAAGAAAUGUAGGGGGUAGCAGGGAGUGGGCUGCGGGGUCCACGUCUCUGGGCACUGUGCCGUGGUGUGCUUUGGGGAUUCUGCACACACAGGCAUCUUUCCCCAAGAGAUUGGAAGGGAACUUUGCAGCUGCAUUCUCUGCCUCUGGAGCUUUGCUGGCUCUUGGGGGAAAUGGUCUGUGUUCUGAGAUGUGAAGAUAUCCUUUUUGGCUCCUCCUUAAUGAAGAAGAGGGCGGUCUUAUAGCUGGACAGCCGGCCAAAGAAACCAAAUCCGCCCAGGCGAUGCUCUUGAAAAUACAGUACGUGUGCAUCCUUGAUUCUUUAAAUCCACCCCCUGCAUCACCCCCGCCUCUUCUCUAUCCCCCCCACCACCCCGUGGAUUCUGUUGCUGUUUGAUGAAUGGCUUGGGCUGGCAAUUUGUAUUUCCCUCUCCAAAGUGGUAGUGGUUGAGUUGAGAACAGGGGUGAUGAAAUUUAACAAAGCAUUUUUAGAAGAGAGCAAUGUGCAUGUUGUACGCAGUCAUUGGAAAGUCAUGCUUUGCGCUAGGUAUCCUUUUGAAGCCCCCGAACCUGGCUCUCCUGAAGCCGCUCUCUCUCUCUCCUGCUAGUCAGCUACUAGUGGUUGUGAAUAUAACAAUACAAACUUUGUCCUGCUGGAGGUGUAAAGACUAAAAA
Molecule: long non-coding RNA, 1090 nt
Organism: Homo sapiens (human)
Lineage: Eukaryota; Metazoa; Chordata; Mammalia; Primates; Hominidae
Source: Ensembl